This 93-nucleotide transfer RNA is filed under the name Xanthomonas translucens pv. translucens. RNAcentral's name for it is "tRNA-Ser". It matches the Rfam family "tRNA". Rfam says of the family: Transfer RNA (tRNA) molecules are approximately 80 nucleotides in length. Their secondary structure includes four short double-helical elements and three loops (D, anti-codon, and T loops). Lineage: Bacteria; Pseudomonadati; Pseudomonadota; Gammaproteobacteria; Lysobacterales; Lysobacteraceae. The record is from RNAcentral.
GGAGUGAUGCCCGAGCGGCUGAAGGGGCUCCCCUGCUAAGGGAGUAUAGAGUCAAAAGCUCUAUCGAGGGUUCGAAUCCCUCUCACUCCGCCA